AAAGACGCGGGUGAGUGUGUGAUCUGCCUGGAGGAGCUGCUGCAGGGGGACACGAUAGCCAGGCUGCCCUGCCUGUGCAUCUAUCACAAAAGGUAGGAGGGGUUGGCAAGGUAGCUCAGUGCACACGACCUCCCAGAGGGGCGGACCCCCAUCUCCAGCCAUUCUCUCUCCUUUGGUUAUGGGAUGACCUCUCCCCCGACCUCUGGCUCCAAGUGGGUAAGGGCAGAGGCCGUCAGACAGGUGUCCACUGUGCUGGCGGGAAGGUGCGAGCAUCCCAAGCGCAGGGCAGAGUUGAGUUGCCAGAGGUGUGCUCUGGUUUGAGGGCUCAGGUGGUAGGAGCUGAUGGGGAGACCCGUAGAGCCUCACAGGUUGGAGGAGCUUAGAAUCCCACCGGGAAGGUUGGUUCUCCGUCUGUCUCCCUGCCUCUUCUUCCUCUACGGGCCCCUCUGCUGCACAGGGGGAGAACAUCAAUCUGUGCGAGGAAGGCCAGGCGGAGCGUGUACCCACUGCUUUGCACUGGCCUUCUCCCUAGAGGGCCAGGAGGCGGGAAGAGCCAUUUCCUGUGGGGCCACAGCACUGGGCGCAGUUAAAAGUAGCAGGGCCCAGAUAUGCCUUCGGACUCCAGUGUGAGCCUCGUCCUUGUUUCCAGCUGGAAGGAAGGCACCCUCUUGCCCAAGACAGGACACUGUGCUGCCUGUGGCAAGCACCUGCUGAAUCCUCGAGCCCAGAGCUUCUUCCUGACACUCAGGCCUUUCAAACCCUGACUCUCAGGGCCACUGCUGCAUAGGGUGACAACCGGGCAUGGCACGCAGUGUGGCUGGUGCAGAGGAGGCUCAAGGCUGGCCUGGGAGAGAUUCUUGGUCUAGCUCCCAGCACGGAGCCUUGCUUGUGUCCCAGGGAGGCACUAACCAGAACCAGAAAAGGAAAUCUUUGGCUCUCGGGGAGAAUUAUGCAAAUUAUCUGUCUGGUUCCUGUCUUUGAAAAUGCCCAGAUGUUGGUUUACAAAUCAGGAAGCUGUCUUGGGGCAAUCUCUGUUCUCUCUUUGAUGCAGAGAGCCUUUCUCUGUAAACACUGGAGAGCAGGGCUUCACUGUCUGGCUCCCCUCCCGCCUCUUGCAGGAAGGACUAGAUGCUGCUGAUCAGCUGAUCAUGGCUGAGCAGGGUAGAGCUUGGGGGCUCUCCUAAGAGGUCACCCACUGGGAGGGAGCCUCACAGCUGUUCUUUUGACCCAGAAAGGAGCUCUUUCAGGACCGUGGCACCCAGAGCCGUGGCCCUCCUGCCAUGCCAUUGUUCCCACUUCCCUGCCCUUGGAGUCUUGGUGACAGCUGACUAGCUGCCCUGAGGGGUCCACCACUCUCACCUUCUCAAUGGUGGCUGCUGCCAUCCUCCUGGGCUCUGUGCACAGAAAGCUUUGGUCCUUCUGAAGGCCACUCUGCCCCUUCCUGCAGCACCAGAUCCCCCUGAGCCGGUACCCACCACUGCUGCCUCCAGCUGGGCCAGACUAGUCUUGGUGUUCGCCCUUCUUCCUGCUUCGGAUAGUAGUGAUAUUUGGGAACAUGACUGUGUUUCCCUGGGGUCCUUUCAGAAGAGACUUAGGAAGCUCCUGCUCAGGAAUCUGGCCCUUUGAAAGAGCCCCUUCAAAGCAGCCUGGGCAGCAGGUAACGUGGUUUCCCUUGCGGCCCCCUCCCCCCAGCUGCAUAGACUCGUGGUUUGAAGUGAACAGAUCUUGUCCGGAACACCCUGCGGACUGACCUGCGGGCUUGCUUGCUGACUCCUCUCAAAGGGACAGAGAGCCCCUGCUCCAGGGAGGAGGCUCACCGGACCCUGGGGCAGAGCUGAGCUUGGGACACCAGCGGGAACAGGGCACCCCUUCUGCACUGACUUCCAGAUCAUGGUUCUCCCUUCCUCCCUGAGGACACCAAAUUGGAUGAGAGCAAGUUUGAGAGAAGAAUGAAUCAACUGCUAUCCUUCCCCUCACCCCUCAGCCCAGGAGGGAAAGGGCAUUUUCUUUUUCAUCUUUGAAAGGCAUUGUGGGUCUGUCUUUAAAGUGUUUAC
Molecule: small RNA, 2054 nt
Filed under: Pongo abelii (Sumatran orangutan)
Lineage: Eukaryota; Metazoa; Chordata; Mammalia; Primates; Hominidae
Description: retained intron
Source: RNAcentral